GGGGAAUAUUGGACAAUGGGCGGAAGCCUGAUCCAGCAAUACCGCGUGUGUGAAGAAGGCCUGAGGGUUGUAAAGCACUUUCAAUUGGGAGGAAAACCCACCGGCCAAUACCCGGUGGCUUGACAUUACCUUUAGAAGAAGCACCGGCUAACUCCGUGCCAGCAGCCGCGGUAAUACGGAGGGUGCAAGCGUUAAUCGGAAUUACUGGGCGUAAAGCGUGCGUAGGCGGCUUGUUAAGUCAGAUGUGAAAGCCCCGGGCUUAACCUGGGAACUGCAUUUGAAACUGGCAGGCUAGAGUUGGGUAGAGGGGAGCGGAAUUUCAGGUGUAGCGGUGAAAUGCGUAGAUAUCUGAAGGAACACCAGUGGCGAAGGCGGCUCCCUGGACCCAAACUGACGCUGAGGUACGAAAGCGUGGGUAGCAAAC
Molecule: ribosomal RNA, 424 nt
Filed under: uncultured bacterium
Lineage: Bacteria
Description: bacterial SSU rRNA
Rfam family: Bacterial small subunit ribosomal RNA
Source: RNAcentral